GAUGAACGCUGGCGGCGUGCCUAAUACAUGCAAGUCGAGCGAACAGACGAGGAGCUUGCUCCUCUGACGUUAGCGGCGGACGGGUGAGUAACACGUGGAUACCUACCUAUAAGACUGGGAUAACUUCGGGAAACCGGAGCUAAUACCGGAUAAUAUAUUGAACCGCAUGGUUCAAUAGUGAAAGACGGUUUUGCUGUCACUUAUAGCUGGAUCCGCGCCGCAUUAGCUAGUUGGUAAGGUAACGGCUUACCAAGGCGACGAUGCGUAGCCGACCUGAGAGGGUGAUCGGCCACACUGGAACUGAGACACGGUCCAGACUCCUACGGGAGGCAGCAGUAGGGAAUCUUCCGCAAUGGGCGAAAGCCUGACGGAGCAACGCCGCGUGAGUGAUGAAGGUCUUCGGAUCGUAAAACUCUGUUAUUAGGGAAGAACAAAUGUGUAAGUAACUAUGCACGUCUUGACGGUACCUAAUCAGAAAGCCACGGCUAACUACGUG
This 496-nucleotide ribosomal RNA is filed under the name uncultured bacterium. RNAcentral's name for it is "partial 16S ribosomal RNA". It matches the Rfam family "Bacterial small subunit ribosomal RNA", at positions 28 to 507 of the family's 1533-position model. The record is from RNAcentral.